CCUAAUCGAUCAGACCGUUCAACCACCGGGAGAUCAACAUCAAGAUACGAACGAUCAGAUUGUUGUUUCACCCACACGCUCCUCGUAGGUAUAUUUACAAACAUUUCUUGGAUGACUUGUUCAUAAAAAGUUUUAUCAUAUAAGGCUAUAAACACAGUGCUGCUGUGAGCAUGUCACAAGAACAAAAAUAUCAAAGGCAGUGAUGAGAGGAACGUAGAGUUGAAGCAAAAAAAUCACAAACUUCUAUAGAACAUUUUCAUAGAACCUGAAAGGUUUACGCAUGUGUAUUGUUAACACAUUCCUUACUUUACACAUGUGUGUUGUUAACAUUUUUAUUUUACACAUUUGUACAUCAUGAAACCAAGUAAUAACUUGU
Long non-coding RNA from Helianthus annuus (common sunflower), 376 nucleotides. RefSeq lists it as uncharacterized. The transcript has 3 exons. The record is from RefSeq and is a predicted model, not a curated record. Lineage: Eukaryota; Viridiplantae; Streptophyta; Magnoliopsida; Asterales; Asteraceae.